GAAGAUCGAUAAAAAAGGAUUACUUUAAUGUUUUAUACAAUGAUCUCAUGCAAUCAAUAAUCAAAAUCUAUACUUAUUCAGAGCCUAGUAUCCAUCUUAUCACCCUUGAUGAUCGGAUUUCUCUUAACCAAGAGUUCACGACCAGCGCUCUUGAAAUCGAACGUGCACGAGUGCUCUUUAGGGAAGCGGUGAAACCCACAGAAGACCUUCCCGCAGCGGCACUCGAACCCUGUGAAACCCACCUUCUUAUUGCAACUCUCACAUCUAUUCUUCAAGGUUGAACCCGAGGCAACUGUCCUAUCCGUUUCUUCGGUCCUGGUCGAUAAAGAUUGGUGGGUAUCAAUUGGUGUAGCUGCUGGUUUGACAGACAUACUCGAUUUAGCAAUUAGCUCCUCUUUGAUAUAGUCGUUGUAGCACUUGGAGCAGAGGUUGUAGUUCUCUGCUGUCCCAAAGAAGCCACAGCCCUUGGCGCACAUUGGAUUACAUGUGCUUUUCUGCGAAUCCAUUUUCUUUCUUCUUCUUGAGAUGAUUAUGAUCUAUGAAGACGAUCCCUGAGAACAAGAAAGAUCUCAAAAUCUUCUUGAUGUAUGAGAUUCGAUGAUGAAUUGAAUAGAAUACGUGUAGCGUUUG
Molecule: unclassified non-coding RNA, 630 nt
Filed under: Hevea brasiliensis (rubber tree)
Lineage: Eukaryota; Viridiplantae; Streptophyta; Magnoliopsida; Malpighiales; Euphorbiaceae
Source: RNAcentral